RNAcentral lists this ribosomal RNA (566 nucleotides) under uncultured archaeon. Its description in RNAcentral is "bacterial SSU rRNA". It matches the Rfam family "Archaeal small subunit ribosomal RNA", at positions 311 to 879 of the family's 1478-position model. The record is from RNAcentral.
CGCGAAUUCGCCCUUCGGGGUGCAGCAGGUGCGAAAACUCCACAAUGUACGGAAGUACGAUGGGGUUAUCUCGAGUGCAGUCCGAUAAGGGCUGCUUUUCCAUAGAGUAAUAUCCUGUGGGAAUAAGAGGGGGGCAAGACUGGUGUCAGCCGCCGCGGUAACACCAGCCCCUCGAGUGGUGGGGACUAUUAUUUGGUCUAAAGCGUCCGUAGCUGGCUGUAUCCGUCCCCCGUUAAAUCCAGCGUCCUAAGCGUUGGACUGCGGGUGAUACCAUACAGCUAGAGGGUGGGAUAGGUGAGCGGUAUUUCUGGGGUAGGGGCGAAAUCCUUUGAUCCCAGGAGGACCACCAGUGGCGAAGGCUGCUCACUAGAACACGCCUGACGGUCAGGGACGAAAGCUGGGGCAGCGAACCGGAUUAGAUACCCGGGUAGUCCCAGCUGUAAACGAUGCUAGCUAGGUGUUGGGUCGGCCACGCGCCGCCCCAGUGCCGCAGGGAAGCCGUUAAGCUAGCCACCUGGGGAGUACGGCCGCAAGGCUGAAACUUAAAGGAAUUGGCGGGGGAGCAC